UGGGUAACCUGCCUCAAAGAGGGGAAUAGCCUCCCGAAAGGGAGAUUAAUACCGCAUAAUAUGUUUUAGUCGCAUGACUUAAACAUCAAAGGUAUUUUCUUUUAAGAAAUUCCACUUUGAGAUGGACCCGCGGCGCAUUAGCUAGUUGGUGAGGUAACGGCUCACCAAGGCAACGAUGCGUAGCCGACCUGAGGAGGGUGAUCGGCCACAUUGGAACUGAGACACGGUCCAGACCUCCGUAGGGACGG
This 248-nucleotide ribosomal RNA is filed under the name uncultured bacterium. RNAcentral's name for it is "partial 16S ribosomal RNA". It matches the Rfam family "Bacterial small subunit ribosomal RNA", at positions 118 to 348 of the family's 1533-position model. The record is from RNAcentral.